CUUCAGGGCUGAACAUGGAGUCGAGAGCGCCCUUCGGGGUGAGCGGGGUACGGGUUGAUAACGCGUGGGAAUAUACCCUUUGGUACGGAAUAGCCUCUGGAAACGGAGAGAAAUACUGUAUGAAUCCUUCGGGGGAAAGAUUUAUCGCCAAAGGAGUAGCCCGCGUUAGAUUAGGUAGUUGGUGGGGUAAUGGCCUACCAAGCCUACGAUCUAUAACUGGUUUUAGAGGAUGAACAGUAACCCUGGGACUGAAACACGGCCCAGACUCCUACGGGAGGUAGCUGUGGGGAAUCUUGGACAAUGGGGGCAACCCUGAUCCAGCCAUGCCGCGUGAGUGUUGAAGGCCUUAGGGUCAUAAAGCUCUUUCGCCUGUGAAGAUAAUGAAGGUAGCAGGUAAAGAAACCCCGGCUAACUCCGUGCCAGCAGCCGCGGUAAUACUGAGGGUGUUAUCGUUGUUCGGUAUUACUGGUCGUAGACGCACGUAGGCGGAUCGGAUUGUUGGGUUGAAAGCCCGGGGCUCAACCCCGGAACUGCCUUAAAUUAUCGGUCUAAAGUGCGAGAGAGGUGAUAGAAAUUCAAGUGAGAGAUG
RNAcentral lists this ribosomal RNA (589 nucleotides) under uncultured bacterium. RNAcentral describes it as "bacterial SSU rRNA". It matches the Rfam family "Bacterial small subunit ribosomal RNA", at positions 60 to 681 of the family's 1533-position model. The record is from RNAcentral.